AUUCAGCUGAUGACUCCCAAAUAGGACUAAAAGCACGUCCUGGAU
RNAcentral lists this non-coding RNA (45 nucleotides) under Schistosoma haematobium. RNAcentral also lists the same sequence under 1 other name. The record is from RNAcentral. Lineage: Eukaryota; Metazoa; Platyhelminthes; Trematoda; Strigeidida; Schistosomatidae.